UUAAGGUGGUACCUAACACUACUGGGAGAUAACUCUGUAAAGUCAGCUAAACGUUUUGAUUACGUUGUGUUGUAAAGGGAAUAUAAAGAUUCUCAAUGAUAAAAAAAUGGUGUUUGUCAAACUGCUAUAUAACCAGUGUAAUUUUUCUGACAAAACGGUUGGUUCAAAAUUUUUGAAAUUUUUAUAUUUUUGUUAAAGGGUCAAAGUAAGUACUUUGACAAAAUUUUAUGAAAAUUAAACGAGCCAAAUUAAUUUUAGUGCAAGUGUUGGGUACCACCUUAAG
RNAcentral lists this long non-coding RNA (283 nucleotides) under Mytilus galloprovincialis (Mediterranean mussel). Lineage: Eukaryota; Metazoa; Mollusca; Bivalvia; Mytilida; Mytilidae. The record is from RNAcentral.